AAUUUUGCUUAUCUGUUUAAUAGAAAUAUGUAAGAGAGGUUUCUCAAUUUCUUUUGUCAGUCUCUGACCUUUGCUGUUGCUGUUACCUUUUCAUGAGGAGUCCACAUGUGGAAGGCAACACAACUGAGGCUGAAAAGGUUAUCCUGUUGCAUUGUAAACAACCACUGAACCUUCAGAAGAGAUUUCUCAUCUGGGCAGUUUUGCUGGCUAUGUGUCUUGGAUGAACUGUUUCUUCCGUACACCAUUGCUGACCAUAAAGGACAACAGCUCCAGGAAGAAGGGUGACUACAUAACAUGAAAGACAUGAUCACAGCAGCUGGAACACAGAAGACACCCGUAUUUAGUCCUGUUAUCAUCCAAGCUGGCCAGUUUAUUCCAGGUAUGUUUGUAUGUAAGCUACAAUCCUCUGAAAACAUAUAAAACUGCUCAGCUUAAAAGCCUGGAAAUCAAAUGAAAAAAUUAUUCUGGUGACCUUACUUCCUUGUAUGACGAACAUGAUGGCAUCUAAAACCAGUUUUAGUGUGCUGGAGCAGAGCCUGAAGCUGGCAGAAGAGUACAGCUUUGGCUUCAGUUGCUGAGAUGCCAGAAGAGAUUGUAAGUCCUUGAAAUUCUUCCAAGAAGUCACUUUGUCCUGGAUGAAAACUGGCAUUUAUCAGUGCAGAUGAUAGUGGUGUAUUUUAGAUGGCAUCAAUAUUGAUUUGUAUACUGCACGAGCUUUUAAAUAUGAUUUAAGAUAAAGCUUAGCUUAACGUAAGACAUUUCUCCACAAAGCAUUGAUUUAAUGUUAAUGUUUUAUGUCUUGCUUUCUUUGCUAUAGACUUUCCUUUGGUUCAUGGAGACUUCCCAAGUAUCCUUCUCAGCUCCCUCUUUCAGGCACUUGCAAAAGCCCAACAAACACUUGACACGUGAGUAAGUAUUCAAAAGUUUAAUUUAUACUAUCUGACAGGCAGCUUCAAAAGCAAUUACUUAAUGGUGGUCAUUAUUGCUUAUCUCAAAUUCAUUAUUACAGUUCUAGUUGCUUCGACUUGGCUUAUUGUUUUCCCAAGCCUUAUGGGAAAAAGAGCUAACUUGGUGAAGAUGUAACAGAAAAUUUUAAAUAGGUGAGUUCGUUUACCAUUCCAAUAAGGCAAUGUCUCGUACUUUGUCUUUUAAAAUGCUGGGUAUUGUAAUUAGAGUCCUUACUAAUCUAGAGAGAGAAUUUCCUAUUUGACUUCUAUUUAAAUAAUAGCAAUUCUUUCUAGGUGCAACAGCAGUGAGUGCCCAUCCACUCUGUGUGUCUACUUGACCUUGCUUGGGCGUUUCAGAGUGUGAAGGCUGGGGAAGCCGAACGCUGUAGCUGCUGCUGAUCUGUGUCUGAAUCCUGACGAUCAGAUCUCUGGAGCAGCGCGGCUGUGUGGAAGCAGCAGCAGCCUUCGGGAGAGGAGUACAAAACAUCUCCUGGGCAGGUUGAAGAUGCCCUGACAGGAGAGGCGCUGGGAGAGGGGCAGGGUUUGUUUCAGCCGGCAUCGCGGUGGCCCCUGCGGAGGCUGCGCGGGCGCGGUGCCCGCCCG
Molecule: long non-coding RNA, 1550 nt
Organism: Catharus ustulatus (Swainson's thrush)
Lineage: Eukaryota; Metazoa; Chordata; Aves; Passeriformes; Turdidae
Source: Ensembl